AACGAACGCUGGCGGCAUGCCUAACACAUGCAAGUCGAACGAGACCUUCGGGUCUAGUGGCGCACGGGUGCGUAAAGCGUGGGAACCUGCCCUUAGGUUCGGAAUAACUCCCCGAAAGGGGUGCUAAUACCGGAUAAUGUCUUCGGACCAAAGAUUUAUCGCCAUUGGAUGGGCGAGCGUUGGAUUAGCUAGUUGGUAGGGUAAAAGCGUACCAAGGCGACGAUCCAUAGCUGGUCUGAGAGGAUGAGCAGCCACUCUGGGACUGAGACACGGCCCAGACUCCUACGGGAGGCAGCAGAGGGGAAUCCUGGACUGCGGGCGAAAGGAUGAUCCAGCACUGCCGCGUGAGUGAUGAUGGCCUUAGAGUUGUAAAGCUCUUUUAUCCGGGAUGAUAAUGACAGUACCGGGAGAAUAAGCACCGGCUAACUCCGUG
RNAcentral lists this ribosomal RNA (433 nucleotides) under uncultured bacterium. RNAcentral's name for it is "partial 16S ribosomal RNA". It matches the Rfam family "Bacterial small subunit ribosomal RNA", at positions 29 to 507 of the family's 1533-position model. The record is from RNAcentral.